AGGAAAAUAGUUCAGCCGGUAGAACAGUGGUUUCCAAAACCAAAAGUCAAGGGUUCAAGUCCUUUUUUUCCUG
This 73-nucleotide transfer RNA is filed under the name Skeletonema subsalsum. Its description in RNAcentral is "tRNA-Trp". It matches the Rfam family "tRNA". Rfam says of the family: Transfer RNA (tRNA) molecules are approximately 80 nucleotides in length. Their secondary structure includes four short double-helical elements and three loops (D, anti-codon, and T loops). Further hydrogen bonds mediate the characteristic L-shaped molecular structure. tRNAs have two regions of fundamental functional importance: the anti-codon, which is responsible for specific mRNA codon recognition, and the 3' end, to which the tRNAs corresponding amino acid is attached (by aminoacyl-tRNA synthetases). tRNAs cope with the degeneracy of the genetic code in two manners: having more than one tRNA (with a specific anti-codon) for a particular amino acid; and 'wobble' base-pairing, i.e. permitting non-standard base-pairing at the 3rd anti-codon position. The record is from RNAcentral. RNAcentral also lists the same sequence under 1 other name. Lineage: Eukaryota; Bacillariophyta; Thalassiosirophyceae; Thalassiosirales; Thalassiosiraceae.